GUGCACGCUGGCGGUAGGCCUAACACCUGCAAGUCGAACGGCAGCACAGUAAGAGCUUGCUCUUACGGGUGGCGAGUGGCGGACAGGUGAGGAAUACAUCGGAAUCUACUUUUUCGUGGGGGAUAACGUAGGGAAACUUACGCUAAUACCGCAUACGACCUACGGGUGAAAGCAGGGGAUCUUCGGACCUUGCGCGAUUGAAUGAGCCGAUGUCGGAUUAGCUAGUUGGCGGGGUAAAGGCCCACCAAGGCGACGAUCCGUAGCUGGUCUGAGAGGAUGAUCAGCCACACUGGAACUGAGACACGGUCCAGACUCCUACGGGAGGCAGCAGUGGGGAAUAUUGGACAAUGGGCGCAAGCCUGAUCCAGCCAUACCGCGUGGGUGAAGAAGGCCUUCGGGUUGUAAAGCCCUUUUGUUGGGAAAGAAAAGCAGCAGGUUAAUACCCCGCUGCUCUGACGGUACCCAAAGAAUAAGCACCGGCUAACUUCGUG
Molecule: ribosomal RNA, 491 nt
Filed under: uncultured bacterium
Lineage: Bacteria
Description: partial 16S ribosomal RNA
Rfam family: Bacterial small subunit ribosomal RNA
Source: RNAcentral